Molecule: ribosomal RNA, 253 nt
Filed under: uncultured bacterium
Lineage: Bacteria
Description: partial 16S ribosomal RNA
Rfam family: Bacterial small subunit ribosomal RNA
Source: RNAcentral
UACGAAGGGGGCUAGCGUUGUUCGGAAUUACUGGGCGUAAAGCGCACGUAGGCGGAUACUUAAGUUAGGGGUGAAAUCCAAGGGCUCAACCCUGGAACUGCCUUUAAUACUGGGUAUCUCGAGUUCGAGAGAGGUGAGUGGAAUUCCGAGUGUAGAUGUGAAAUUCGUAGAUAUUCGGAGGAACACCAGUGGCGAAGGCGGCUCACUGGCUCGAUACUGACGCUGAGGUGCGAAAGCGUGGGGAGCAAACAGG